CAAUCUUACUGAAUAAUGAACUAUUCUAAGCCACCUCAAGAGGAAGUAAACAGAUUUUCAUUUUAUUUUUACAAACUAUAGUAAGUUCAAAUUCAUAUCAAAUUAUUUAUUUCACAAUUAAAAGCUUUUUGCACCCAACUUGCGAAGUAUUCACUCCAACGGCUGACAAUAAGUGUAUGUUAACAAUUGGCUCUUUUUAAACAAAUAUGCCUAUCAACAACAAAAUCAUCUGGUGUCGUAAUUGAUAAAAUAUGCGCAUAGGUUUUUCUUUCCAAAAAGGAAUUCCAUUUUCAGUCCAUGAACUGUCUAGACUUGAUGAAUAAAACUCCGAUUUGAUUAACUGAUAGACUUAGCCGAUUAAAAUUAAUUGAGUAAGAUGAUAAUAAUCAUCACUAGGUAUGCUUCCUAUCUGAUAAAAGUGAAAAGUUUUCAUUGAUUCGUCACUCCCCGUGGCUCCUAUCAGUUUUGAUAGGACUGCGUGAUAUUUUUGGAGAAAACAGCCACGUGCCAUAAUUUCAAACCACCGGUACGACAAAAAUUUUUAGAAUUGACCGAACAUGAAGUUUAGUUCACCAUGUCUCAACUAUAGCCUUUUCUCGCGUCGAGAGCCUUUUGGGUAUAUUUUGCAUUGACAGACCAAUGCAAAUGAUCUUCAAAGCAUCAGUUUAAGUUUUCAGUGAUAAAAUGAGCAUUUUUAGAUUAUCAAGCUUGCCAGUGUAAAAUAAAUUGUAACCUAUGAAGUUGAAAAAACCCCGAAAAGCUUUGGUACCUAAUGAAAGAUUUCAGGAAAAAAGGAGUUCUAAGUUCGUAGUGUUAAACUAACCUUUUUCCCAGUUUUAAUUGACGUGAUUUAAGUGGUUUUGGUUUUGUUUCGUUUGUUUUUUUGUUUUUUUGUUUUUUUUUUGUUUUUUUUUUUCUAAAUGCCGGUGGUGGCAACAACCUACACGCUAAAGACCAUGCUUCAGUCCAGAUUGCUAUUGCUGAUGUCGAUGCCUCUAGACAAAUGACUGAUGCCGUCAAACACCAGCCACUAUCUCUAUGUCUAUCAAUUCCCAUAAUCAUCCCGCCGAUCAAACUCAUUGUAGCCUAGUAAGCGGCUGCGGGCAGUGAAAAGGUAUUAUUGUUCGUAACUGUGAAGUUUUGAUCCUUCUAAGAUGCCGCGGGUUAUGAUCAAAGGAGGUGUUUGGAGAAACACCGAGGAUGAAAUCCUCAAAGCAGCGGUUAUGAAAAAUGGCAAAAACCAGUGGUCCAGAAUAACAUCAAAAUCAGUACAGUCCCGCAAGAAGUGCGGGCAAGGUGUUGACAGCUUGUAAAUAAACCGGAGAUAUUUAUUUAGAUUUUAUAAAAUUUUAUUUAUAAUUUUAAAAUAAUGACAACUACCCAUACAGAGUGCGCAAAAACUUGAAGGAAGUGACAAGUUGAAAAAUGCUGACUGCUUCGCGAGUUUAACUAAUUCCACCAGACAAAGUGUGGUCGGCGCUACACGCAUGUUUGACCCUGUAUGUCUAUGCCCUGCUAAAGCUCUCUAAUAUUUACGUAGCUACCAUUUUGCUUAGAGCAGAUCGCUGUUUGAAAUUUUCUUAUCAUGCCGCAAUCACACGCUGAAUGUGGGAGCUGAAUGUGGCUUGAAUGUGGAAGUCAUCGGCCCGAUGCUUGAAUUUUGCGCGUGACGCGCAAAAUUCAGCAACAAUUCUCAGCGACCAUCGGAUAAUGUCGGACUAGUCUGAACUAUUUGAAUAGAUUUAAUACACAUUUGGAUGAAAAUGAAAUGGUUGCUUAGAUGUAACUCCAAUCUUUCCCUUGACAACAAGGUAUUACUUUAUAAGCAGGCUAUCAGGCCAGUGUGGUCCUACGGCUGCCAGCUCUGGGGGUGUGCGGCUAACUCCAACAUCAAAAUAAUACAGAGGGCCCAGAACUCUGUGCUGCGACGGAUGGUGGGGGCGAGGUGGUUUGUCAGAAAUUCUGACAUCCACCGAGACCUCGGCAUUGAGAGCGUCGUCGGCGCAGUGAUCAGACACACAGCUUCUAGAUACGAAGAACGUCUCUUGGCCCAUCCUAACGAGGAAGCCAUCAGACUCUUGGAUAAUAGUGAGGAACUACGGAGGCUUAGAAGGCGCAAGCCCUUCGAGCUGGCAACCGUAGUUCCCGAUUAAGCCAUUUUAAUCGCAAAAAUCCCCCCAGGCGGUGGCUUAGAAUUAAAGUGUUUAGUUUAAGUUGUAUAUGUUUGUUUAUACUUAGAUAAUCACUGAUAUAGUUAAGGUUUACACACAUUACUGCGUGGUGUGUGUAUACUAGAUCGGCUGCCAUGGGGGUGGGCACCGCGGAGACCAGGAUCUGUAUCGAUUCUGAUGGGCUCUGUGAUGUUCGUCUCCGGACAGCCAAGCUAGAAAAAAGACUCAACAACUGUAUAUUUUUUUAGUCGAUAACCGUUAUUUAUUUUUACAAGUUACAUCUAAAUAUCUUAUUUCUGUAUAGAAGUCGAUAUGUUUAAUAAAAAAAAAAAAUUUGGAUGAAAAUAACUCUUAGUGAAAUUUCAGCUGUUGAGUGCUGACUGUUGGCUGCCACAUUCAACUGCCAAAUUCAGCGUGUGAUUGCGGCAUAUGUUACACGAGCAAGCUGCGAGGCCAUGUAAGAAGGUUUCCGAUUGGCUGUCAUUUCGGCAUGGCAAUGAAGGUCAAGAUACACCAGCAAGUUACAAGCGCUUGUUGAAACGACUGUAUAGUGUCCAGCGACCCACCAAUCAUUGCUAUGACGUCACGAGACACUAAUCGUUGGUCUCUCCGUGUUCUUUCUCCUCCUUCACGGUGACACGUCAUUCCUACACCCCGUAUCUCGGCUCCUUUUCCAUCGAUUUUCGUAAAACUUGAUACCAGUGGGUAUUUUUCAACCAGAAACUUGAAUUUUUAGUCACUUUUUCAAAAUUCGCAAAUCCAAGAUAGUGGAUGUGGCGUAAAAUGAUAUCGCGGCUCCUAUUGCAACAAUAUUCGUGGAACUUUGUACCAGGAGGUAUUUUUCAACCAGCAACUCGAAUUUUCAGUUAAGUUUUUGAAAUUUUAAAAUCCAAGAUUGUGGACGAGGCCCAAAUUGCUAUUUUAGCUUCUGAAAUUGAUAAAUUUAUUUUUGUUAAACUUGGCCCCGUUGUCUCAAGUAGCCUAUGAGUUGUGCUGAAACUCUCUCAUUGGGCCAGAUUAAUGUUCACUUUAUUUGCGGCUGACCGCAAAUCAACCAAACGCAAGCUGUGAUGACAAAAGUUGCUUUGAACUACGAAAAAUAUCGAUAAAUUUAAAUCGAUUUUUUAAAAAAAAUUUUGUCUAUAUCUUGCGUCUUUCCGAUAGUAAUGUUGAAGAUAGGAGAUAAACU
This is a non-coding RNA of Bemisia tabaci, 3360 nucleotides long. Lineage: Eukaryota; Metazoa; Arthropoda; Insecta; Hemiptera; Aleyrodidae. The record is from RefSeq and is a predicted model, not a curated record.